GACAGAGGGUGCAAACGUUGCUCGGAAUUACUGGGCGUAAAGGGCGUGUAGGCGGGAAGGCAAGUCGGGCGUGAAAGCCCCAGGCUCAACCUGGGAACUGCACUCGAAACUGCCUUUCUUGAGUGCCGGAGAGGAAAGCGGAAUUCCUGGUGUAGAGGUGAAAUUCGUAGAUAUCAGGAGGAACACCAGUGGCGAAGGCGGCGAUCUGGGGAAGAGUACUGACGCUGGAGGUGCGAAAGCGUGGGGAGCAAA
RNAcentral lists this ribosomal RNA (252 nucleotides) under uncultured bacterium. RNAcentral's name for it is "partial 16S ribosomal RNA". It matches the Rfam family "Bacterial small subunit ribosomal RNA", at positions 524 to 772 of the family's 1533-position model. The record is from RNAcentral.